GGGGAUUUAGCUCAGUGGCAGAGUGCCUGCCUUACGAGCACAAGGUCCUGAGUUCGAUUCCCAGUACCA
This 69-nucleotide transfer RNA is filed under the name Heterocephalus glaber (naked mole-rat). It matches the Rfam family "tRNA". From Rfam's summary of the family: Transfer RNA (tRNA) molecules are approximately 80 nucleotides in length. Their secondary structure includes four short double-helical elements and three loops (D, anti-codon, and T loops). Lineage: Eukaryota; Metazoa; Chordata; Mammalia; Rodentia; Bathyergidae. The record is from Rfam by way of RNAcentral.